This 516-nucleotide ribosomal RNA is filed under the name uncultured fungus. RNAcentral's name for it is "SSU rRNA". It matches the Rfam family "Eukaryotic small subunit ribosomal RNA", at positions 214 to 731 of the family's 1831-position model. Lineage: Eukaryota; Fungi. The record is from RNAcentral.
AUAAAAAACCAACGCCCUUCGGGGCUCCUUGGUGAAUCAUAAUAACUUAACGAAUCGCAUGGCCUUGCGCCGGCGAUGGUUCAUUCAAAUUUCUGCCCUAUCAACUUUCGAUGGUAGGAUAGUGGCCUACCAUGGUGGCAACGGGUAACGGGAAUUAGGGUUCGAUUCCGGAGAGGGAGCCUGAGAAACGGCUACCACAUCCAAGGAAGGCAGCAGGCGCGCAAAUUACCCAAUCCCGAUACGGGGAGGUAGUGACAAUAAAUACUGAUACGGGGCUCUUUUGGGUCUCGUAAUUGGAAUGAGAACAAUUUAAAUCCCUUAACGAGGAACAAUUGGAGGGCAAGUCUGGUGCCAGCAGCCGCGGUAAUUCCAGCUCCAAUAGCGUAUAUUAAAGUUGUUGCAGUUAAAAAGCUCGUAGUUGAACCUUGGGUCUGGCUGGCCGGUCCGCCUCACCGCGAGUACUGGUCCGGCUGGACCUUUCCUUCUGGGGAACCUCAUGGCCUUCACUGGCUGUGG